UAGCUCCAAGUGGACCAAACCUCAAUGUGAAACCUGAAAUGCUAAAACUGCUAGAAAAAAAAAAAAACACAGGCAGCACCCUAUAAGAUAUCAGUGUAAAAAAGGACUUUGUGAAUAGGACUCCAUCUGCCCAGGAAUUAAAGCUGAGUUAGCUACUGGUACCUAAUGAACUAAAAACACUUCUGUAUAGCUAUCAACUGAGUGAAGAAGAAACCUACAGAAUGGGAGUUCUACACUAGCAACACAGAGACUGAGUGGUCCCAAUGCUGCUUCCAUCUGCCUUCCUCUUCUAUAGCACCAAUCCACUUGUAAGAACCCACAUGGUUAUACUGGGGGCACACAGACUCUUGCCUGGUGCUUGGCUGUGGAUCUCUGCACGUGCUUCCAUCAGUUA
Non-coding RNA from Peromyscus maniculatus bairdii (prairie deer mouse), 394 nucleotides. NCBI's taxonomy places the organism in Eukaryota, Metazoa, Chordata, Mammalia, Rodentia, Cricetidae. The record is from RefSeq and is a predicted model, not a curated record.